UCCUCUUUAGCUCAGUUGGUAGAGCAUACGACUGUUAAUCGUAUGGCCGUUGGUUCGAGUCCAACAGGAGGAG
This 73-nucleotide transfer RNA is filed under the name Caudoviricetes sp. RNAcentral's name for it is "tRNA-Asn". It matches the Rfam family "tRNA". Rfam says of the family: Transfer RNA (tRNA) molecules are approximately 80 nucleotides in length. Their secondary structure includes four short double-helical elements and three loops (D, anti-codon, and T loops). Further hydrogen bonds mediate the characteristic L-shaped molecular structure. tRNAs have two regions of fundamental functional importance: the anti-codon, which is responsible for specific mRNA codon recognition, and the 3' end, to which the tRNAs corresponding amino acid is attached (by aminoacyl-tRNA synthetases). tRNAs cope with the degeneracy of the genetic code in two manners: having more than one tRNA (with a specific anti-codon) for a particular amino acid; and 'wobble' base-pairing, i.e. permitting non-standard base-pairing at the 3rd anti-codon position. Lineage: Duplodnaviria; Heunggongvirae; Uroviricota; Caudoviricetes. The record is from RNAcentral.